AUACGGAAGGUCCGGGCGUUAUCCGGAUUUAUUGGGUUUAAAGGGAGCGCAGGCGGAGAUGCAAGCGUGACGUCAAAUUUCGGGGCUCAACCCCGUCUCGCGUCGCGAACUGCGUCCCUUGGUUGCGGGAAGGGGAGGCGGAACUCGUGGUGUAGCGGUGGAAUGCAUAGAUAUCACGAAGAACUCCGAUCGCGAAGGCAGCCUUCCGGCCCGUCAACGACGCUCAUGCUCGAAGGUGCGGGUAUCAAACAGGAUUAGAUACCCUGGUAGUCCGCACAGUAAACGAUGGACACCCGCGGUUUGGCCUAUAUGGCUGAGCCGCCAAGCGAAAGCGUUAAGUGUCCCACCUGGGGAGUACGCCGGCAACGGUGCAACUCAAAUGAAUUGACGGGG
This 393-nucleotide ribosomal RNA is filed under the name uncultured bacterium. RNAcentral describes it as "partial 16S ribosomal RNA". It matches the Rfam family "Bacterial small subunit ribosomal RNA", at positions 523 to 918 of the family's 1533-position model. The record is from RNAcentral.